RNAcentral lists this ribosomal RNA (372 nucleotides) under uncultured organism. Its description in RNAcentral is "partial 16S ribosomal RNA". It matches the Rfam family "Bacterial small subunit ribosomal RNA", at positions 527 to 896 of the family's 1533-position model. The record is from RNAcentral.
GUAGGAGCCAAGCGUUAUCCGAAUUUACUGGGCGUAAAGCGCGUGUAGGGCGGCAUGGCAAGUUGGGAUGUGAAAGCUCCUGGCUCAACUGGGAGAGGACGUUCAAAACUGCCAAGCUAGAGGGCGAGAGAGGGAGGUGGAAUUCCCGGUGUAGUGGUGAAAUGCGUAGAUAUCGGGAGGAACACCAGUGGCGAAGGCGGCCUCCUGGGUCGCACCUGACGCUCAGACGCGAAAGCUAGGGUAGCAAACGGGAUUAGAAACCCCGGUAGUCCUAGCCGAAACGAUGUAGACUUGGUGUUGGUGGUGUAAGAGCCAUCGGUGCCGCAGCAAACGCGAUAAGUCUACCGCCUGGGGACUACGACCGCAAGGUUA